Molecule: non-coding RNA, 373 nt
Filed under: Solanum tuberosum (potato)
Lineage: Eukaryota; Viridiplantae; Streptophyta; Magnoliopsida; Solanales; Solanaceae
Source: RNAcentral
GCUGAGCUUAGUAACGUGAGCUUGUAACCCGAGUGGGAGCAAUAAGAUGAUGGGACAACCAAUUCGUUAUGGCCUUUGACACAAAUAGUGCGGUUUGGUUUGGUUCAUAGAAGGCGGAUUUGUGGUGUAGUAUGCGUACUACGGUUACUAGUAGUACUCAAAGUCCAUAGGAUUUAGACCUGUCUGGCUCCCAAAAGAGGAGUUUGACAGUGGGAGGAGGGGCAACCCCCGCGGAUUUGCUCCUCAUUGUGGCUGGCUUAACAGAGCAGCGCUCCCAACUGAUGGCCGGGGCGGCCAUCAAAGACCAGUUCCCGUCCCAAGUCACACCGCUAUAUGAGAUGUCAAGGUUAUCGUUGGUUGGACCAUCAUUUUU